GACUCCGUAGCUCAAUGGGUGAGUGCCCGAUCGUUGAUCGGGUGGCCGCUGGUUCGAUUCCGGCAGCGGGCU
Non-coding RNA from Streptomyces sp. 769, 72 nucleotides. Lineage: Bacteria; Bacillati; Actinomycetota; Actinomycetes; Kitasatosporales; Streptomycetaceae. The record is from Rfam.